CAAUGCCGCUAAUGAAGAACGAAGAUCAAAGUUGAGGUUUAAUAUAACCACGCAAAACUGUGUUUAAUAACGGAUAAACAAGGUUCACAUUUGGACAACCUCGCCACCCCUACUUCCCUCAACUGUGCAUGCAGGAAGACUGAGAAGACCGCUUCAACACCUUUGCAUUAGCACCAAGAGGUUCUGCUACAGUUGACACCUAGUAAAAACCAUCCUUUAGUUGCCAAAACGGCCUCUUGCCCAUGGCACCCUUGGCCGAACACCAUUGACAUUGCGCUGCACAGCAUUGUUCUUCCGUGUCAAGAUCCUCAUCCUCUCCUCUUUCAUGUUGGCAAACCGUGAAUCCAGUGUUUGAGGCCUUGGCUUAGCCCCUGCAUCCCCUUGUUGUUGUUGCAGCUGCUGCCGCUGUGGUGACUUCGCAGCCAAGCCUCCAUUUGCUGCCCUCCUCUGAACCGUAAAAGCUCCUGUCCUUGCUUUGUCUGAAUUUGCCAACCCAUUACGAACAAAAGGCCUACUGCGAAAAGAAGCAACUGCAGCCUUCCUUGCAAACUCAGUUGUUACAGGAAAUUGGUUCCCUUGGAAAUUUGACCUUCUUUGAGCUAAAGCCCCCUGUCGAACAAAUGGUCGUGAAUUCAUAUAGCGCUGCACCUUCACAGAUUUCUGUUGUGCAGCAUUGUUAAAAACUAUCUGACUUUUAUUCGGAGGCCUUUGCUGCUUCUUAACCUUAGUUGUAUUUUUAGACAUUUUGAUGAUGUCAUCUAAAGGCAUAUCAAGUUUCUUUUCUGUAUUAGCAAUUUCCUCACGACUGAGUGGUUUAGUGGCCAUAGAUUCCAACGAGGUGGUUUAUGGAAAAGGGGAAAUUGAAAACUUUUUAGGGUUAAGGACUACAAAAGCGUAGUAGUUUCGAGCCGACGAAGGAGAUGCUUCCCUCAAAGAGGCGACGGGAAUAUACGAGCGAUAAAAGAAAGCGAGAGGAAAUUGUACGCAACUGCAAGGCUACGCUACGCGGAUCUAAACUUGCAAUGUACAAAUAAGUUAUUAAACCGUCUCAAUUUAGAUUUCAAGUCCGCCUGGAAAUUCCGGAAUUUUUGCUUAACCUCGUUG
Molecule: unclassified non-coding RNA, 1104 nt
Filed under: Hevea brasiliensis (rubber tree)
Lineage: Eukaryota; Viridiplantae; Streptophyta; Magnoliopsida; Malpighiales; Euphorbiaceae
Source: RNAcentral